AUGUAGAUGAUGAGUCCCAAACAGAACGAAAUGCGUGUCCUGGAU
Molecule: non-coding RNA, 45 nt
Filed under: Schistosoma mansoni
Lineage: Eukaryota; Metazoa; Platyhelminthes; Trematoda; Strigeidida; Schistosomatidae
Source: RNAcentral